Molecule: ribosomal RNA, 382 nt
Filed under: uncultured eukaryote
Lineage: Eukaryota
Description: partial 18S ribosomal RNA
Rfam family: Eukaryotic small subunit ribosomal RNA
Source: RNAcentral
UGUAAGCGUAUACCAAAGUUGUUGCAGUUAAAACGCUCGUAGUCGGAAUUUGGCAGUUCCGGAUGUGUGCACGUCGUGUGCGCACUUCGCGGGGAUUGCUUUUGUGGUCAUGCGUAGGAUGAGGCACUUUUAUUAGUGAACGUCCUCACGCAACCACUUUUUACUGUGAGAAAAUCAGAGUGCUCAAAGCAGGCAUUUGCCGUGAAUGUAUUAGCAUGGAAUAAUAGAAUAGGACUUGGUUCUAUUUUGUUGGUUUGUUGGGACUGAGUAAUGAUUAAGAGGGACAGUUGGGGGCAUUUGUAUUUCGGUGCUAGAGGUGAAAUUCUUAGAUUACCGAAAGACAAACUGCUGCGAAAGCGUCUGCCAAGGAUGUUUUCAUUGA